Molecule: long non-coding RNA, 576 nt
Filed under: Homo sapiens (human)
Lineage: Eukaryota; Metazoa; Chordata; Mammalia; Primates; Hominidae
Description: HSALNT0398317
Source: RNAcentral
CCAUCUGCAUCCACCUCAUUGAUCAUAUCCUGCAGCUCUGCUUCAGUGGGGUUCUGUCCCAGGGAUCUCAUCACUGUCCCCAACUCCUUGGUGGUGAUAGUGCCAUCUCCAUCCUUGUCAAAGAGGGAGAAGGCCUCCUUGAACUCUGGGGGAAGAAGGGGGAGGAGUCAGAGGUCACAAGGUCCACAGGAGAAUCCUUACCUCUGGAUGCUGGAUGCCUUCCCUGGAGGAAGGCCAAGGGCAUCAGUCCCACCUAAAGAAACUGAGACAGACUUCAAGUCCCACGCAACCAGCUCUCUCUCCUCAGUGCUCAGGGCAAAGCCCUUCCAACCUUCAUUCAACAGUUAUUGAACAUCAACACUGUGCUAGGUGAAGCUAUUUUUCUGGCCAGCCAGUGAAGACAGUGGGGAAAAUGGUCUGACAGCUGUCCUUAGAUGAUUCUACAUUUCUGUUUGGUCCCUGGCUUUGACUUCUCCCUUGAAAUGAUGAAAUGAACCAAAGUCAUGGAGUGAAUGAGAGCCGAAAGGAUUCUUUGUCUGAGUGUGUUAGCCAGGGUUGGCUGGCUGGGACGAGGAG